AGCCAGGACGGAGUGUUUACAACUAAUUGAUUACAACCAGUUACAGAUUUCUUUGUUUCUUCUCCACUCCCACUGCUUCCCUUAACUAGCCUUUA
RNAcentral lists this small RNA (95 nucleotides) under Gorilla gorilla gorilla (western lowland gorilla). Its description in RNAcentral is "Y RNA (ENSGGOG00000034096.2)". It matches the Rfam family "Y RNA", at positions 24 to 96 of the family's 96-position model. Rfam says of the family: Y RNAs are components of the Ro ribonucleoprotein particle (Ro RNP), in association with Ro60 and La proteins. The Y RNAs and Ro60 and La proteins are well conserved, but the function of the Ro RNP is not known. The record is from Rfam by way of RNAcentral. Lineage: Eukaryota; Metazoa; Chordata; Mammalia; Primates; Hominidae.